RNAcentral lists this long non-coding RNA (518 nucleotides) under Solanum tuberosum (potato). RNAcentral's name for it is "long non-coding RNA (STUB_LNC010493)". Lineage: Eukaryota; Viridiplantae; Streptophyta; Magnoliopsida; Solanales; Solanaceae. The record is from RNAcentral.
ACUACAUAAGUCCAAAAAUCGCAUAACUACGUCUCACAUCGAAAACAACACCAAAAUUACUUCAUUUCCUUGAGAAAAAUGAUAAAUCUCACAACUUAAUCAAUAAAUAGACGUUACAGAACUGGAAAAAACCUGGAGGUGGAGGUGGAGGUAAUGGCGUGGGAGGAGGAGGAGGUGGAAGGCGUUUACUGAAUAUGGAGGAAAAGAAGCGGUGAGCACCGGAAGUUAUGAGCUUUGACGCCGGAUCAACCACAAGCUUUGUGAGCCAACUAGGGUUUCGGAGGGCCGUCGGUGGACGAUCAUACGGAGUCGUCUGGUUCCGUCGUAACGGUCUCUUCCUAAACUUCCCUCCGGCUCCUCCUCCUUCAUAUGCUCCCGCCGACGCUGACGCCGCCGUCCCAUCACCCGCCGUCGACAUUUUACUGAAAGCUUCGAGAAAAACAGAGAAGAGAGAGAACACCACACCAAGUACCAAAAUUGAAGAGAGAGAAAGAGAGAUGAAGAGAGGGAAAUUAGGG